RNAcentral lists this ribosomal RNA (468 nucleotides) under uncultured bacterium. RNAcentral's name for it is "partial 16S ribosomal RNA". It matches the Rfam family "Bacterial small subunit ribosomal RNA", at positions 28 to 507 of the family's 1533-position model. The record is from RNAcentral.
GACGAACGCUGGCGGCGUGCUUAACACAUGCAAGUCGAACGGAAAGGCCCUGCUUUUGUGGGGUGCUCGAGUGGCGAACGGGUGAGUAACACGUGAGUAACCUGCCCUUGACUUUGGGAUAACUUCAGGAAACUGGGGCUAAUACCGGAUAGGAGCUCCUGCUGCAUGGGGGGGGUUGGAAAGUUUCGGCGGUUGGGGAUGGACUCGCGGCUUAUCAGCUUGUUGGUGGGGUAGUGGCUUACCAAGGCUUUGACGGGUAGCCGGCCUGGGAGGGUGACCGGCCACCUUGGGACUGAGGUACGGCCCAGACUCCUACGGGAGGCAGCAGUGGGGAAUAUUGCACAAUGGGCGGAAGCCUGAUGCAGCAACGCCGCGUGCGGGAUGACGGCCUUCGGGUUGUAAACCGCUUUCGCCUGUGACGAAGCGUGAGUGACGGUAAUGGGUAAAGAAGCACCGGCUAACUACGUG